This 407-nucleotide ribosomal RNA is filed under the name uncultured bacterium. Its description in RNAcentral is "partial 16S ribosomal RNA". It matches the Rfam family "Bacterial small subunit ribosomal RNA", at positions 28 to 526 of the family's 1533-position model. The record is from RNAcentral.
GACGAACGCUGGCGGCGUGCCUAAUACAUGCAAGUCGGACGCAGUUUCGCACGGGUGAGUAACGCGUAGGUAACUACCUACUAGAGGGGGGUAACUCUUGGAAACGAUAGCUAAUACCGCAUACUCGUAGAUGGACCUGCGUGUUAUUCGCUAGUAGGUAGGGUAAUGGCCUACCUAGGCAACGAUACAUAGCCGACCUGAGAGGGUGAUCGGCCACACUGGGACUGGGACACGGGCCAGAAUCCUAAGGGAGGCAGCCGGAGGGAAUCUUCGGGAAUGGGGGGAACGUUGAACGAGCAAAGCCGCGGGAGUGAAGAAGGUUUUCGGAUCGGAAAGCUUUGGUGUUAAGGAAGCGGUACCUAACCAGAAAGGGACGGCUAACUACGUGCCAGCAGCCGCGGUAAUAC